AUUGAACGCUGGCGGCAGGCCUAACACAUGCAAGUCGAGCGUGAAAGUUCUUCGGAAUGAGUAAAGCGGCGGACGGGUGAGUAACGCGUAGGAAUCUGCCCUGAAGUGGGGGAUAACCUGGGGAAACUCAAGCUAAUACCGCAUAGACCUGAGGGUGAAAGAUGGGGAUCUUCGGACCUAUCGCUUCAGGAGGAGCCUGCGUCGGAUUAGCUUGUUGGUAGGGUAAAGGCCUACCAAGGCGACGAUCCGUAGCUGGUCUGAGAGGAUGACCAGCCACACUGGGACUGAGACACGGCCCAGACUCCUACGGGAGGCAGCAGUGGGGAAUAUUGGACAAUGGGCGCAAGCCUGAUCCAGCCAUGCCGCGUGUGUGAAGAAGGCUCUAGGGUUGUAAAGCACUUUAAGUUGUGAGGAAGUAACAGUUGUAAAUAAUGACUGUUAUUGACGUUAGCAACAGAAUAAGCACCGGCUAACUCCGUGCCAGCAGCCGCCGUAA
RNAcentral lists this ribosomal RNA (496 nucleotides) under uncultured bacterium. Its description in RNAcentral is "partial 16S ribosomal RNA". It matches the Rfam family "Bacterial small subunit ribosomal RNA", at positions 30 to 523 of the family's 1533-position model. The record is from RNAcentral.